RNAcentral lists this long non-coding RNA (937 nucleotides) under Homo sapiens (human). Its description in RNAcentral is "HSALNT0405094". Lineage: Eukaryota; Metazoa; Chordata; Mammalia; Primates; Hominidae. The record is from RNAcentral.
UCCCCAGUCCCCUCCUCCAUUCUAUCCUGGCUCAGGAGGGCAGUGCUUAAUUUUGGUCUAGGCCUCUCAGUGUGUCCUGAUCAUAAAUAUUUUAUGUUAGAGAGGAGAUUUCUGUUGCAGGUCUAAAUAUAUUUUUAGAUGUUACUUUCCAGAACCCAAUGCAGGUUCCCUCUUCAUCUCCACUGUGCAGAUGAUAACACACACCUUGGAAAGGUGCAGGUCCCACCGCAGGGCACAGCUCCUGAGUGGUAGAGGACAAUGGAAUUUCUUAUUUGUCAAGUGCACACAGAGUGCUGGAAGAUCCAUGAGGUGAUGGAAGUUUCUGCCUUGGCUGCAAGCUCCUGGGAAAUCAAGAGCCAUGAUUUGGCAGCUUCCCCAGGAGAGAGUCCGGAAAGACCAGGGACAAUGAAAGUGGAGGAGCAGCCAGGAAAGGAGAAGCCACUGUGUCUGCAGGACAGGGGCUCCCAGAGCAAAGGGGAGAUAAAGGGGACACCUGUGACCUCAGGGAGGACACUGCACAUGGCAGGGACACCAUUUUAGCACAACUGGGUGUGUGAGGAGAGGGCACUGUGAGAAGUCAAGUGCCUGGAGCUGUGGCAGAGAAAGAGGCAGCAUCUGCAAGAGCUGAAGGUGUGAGAUCAUGGUCACUGGCUCCUGCUGCAUGUCAGCGUCUCCCUGUCACCCAGGCCCGCCCCAUCGCCAGGUGGCUUUGCCAGGUAACUCUCUGCUUCCCCCUGGUGGCCGCUCCACACUGUGGGCUGGGGGCUCAGGGACUUCCUGGGUCUAGGUGUGGAUUCAGAACCUGCUGUUCAGGUCCCUGAUGCCCUGAUCCGAGGACUGCUGGUCCCAGGGGAGGAACACCUCUUCUCUGUGUGGCCCCUGCCUGACUCAAGAUCAGGUACAAGGGGCUCAGCUUACCCAAUAAAAUACAAAAGUA